GGGGAGGGAUGCUUGCUCCUGCCUGCGGCGGACGGGUGAGUAUGCUAGGAAUCUGCCUAUAGUGGGGGACAAACAUUCCGAAAGGAAAUGCUAUACCGCAUACGCCCUACGGGGGAAAGCAGGGGAUCUUCGGACCUUGCGCUAAUAGAUGAGCCUAAGUCAGAUUAGCUAGUUGGUGGGGUAAGGCCUCCAAGGCGACGAUCUGUAGCGGGUCUGAAGAGGAUGAUCCGCACACUGGGACUGAGACACGGCCCAGACUCCUACGGGAGGCAGCAGUGGGGAAUAUUGGACAAUGGGCGAAAGCCUGAUUCAUUGCAUGCCGCGUGUGUGAAGAAGGCCUUUUGGGUUGUAAAGCACUUUAAGCGAGGAGGAGGCUCUGAAAUAAUACUCUUGGAUAGUGACCGUACUCCAGAAUAACACCGGCUACUCUGUGCAACAGCCGGGUAUCAGAGGUGCAGCGUAAUCGAUUUACUGGCGUAACGUCGUAGCGCUUUUAAUCG
Molecule: ribosomal RNA, 500 nt
Filed under: uncultured bacterium
Lineage: Bacteria
Description: bacterial SSU rRNA
Rfam family: Bacterial small subunit ribosomal RNA
Source: RNAcentral